Molecule: unclassified non-coding RNA, 393 nt
Filed under: soil metagenome
Description: partial contains 5.8S ribosomal RNA, internal transcribed spacer 2, and large subunit ribosomal RNA
Rfam family: 5.8S ribosomal RNA (bases 1-122)
Source: RNAcentral
GAUGAAGAACGUAGCGAAAUACGAUACUUGGUGUGAAUUGCAGAAUCCCGUGAACCAUCGAGUCUUUGAACGCAAGUUGUGCCCGAAGCCACUAGGCCGAGGGCACGCCUGCCUGGGUGUCACACGUCGUUGCCCCCCCCCCAUCUACUCCUUCGGGAUUGCGGGGGGCGGAUGAUGGCCUCCCGUGCGCCUAGCCGCGCGGUUGGCAUAAAUACCAAGUCCUCGGCGACGCACGCCACGACAAGCGGUGGUUGCGAAACCUCGGUUGCCCGUCGUGUGCGUUCGUCGCGCAUCGAGGGCUCGAAAAAAUGCUCGGCUCCGGCUCGGCUUUCAACGCGACCCCAGGUCAGGCGGGGUUACCCGCUGAAUUUAAGCAUAUCAAUAAGCGGAGGA